Molecule: non-coding RNA, 21 nt
Filed under: Arabidopsis thaliana (thale cress)
Lineage: Eukaryota; Viridiplantae; Streptophyta; Magnoliopsida; Brassicales; Brassicaceae
Source: RNAcentral
ACGGAGCUGAUGUUAUGCGUC